Molecule: ribosomal RNA, 253 nt
Filed under: uncultured bacterium
Lineage: Bacteria
Description: partial 16S ribosomal RNA
Rfam family: Bacterial small subunit ribosomal RNA
Source: RNAcentral
UACGAAGGGGGCUAGCGUUGCUCGGAAUUACUGGGCGUAAAGGGAGCGUAGGCGGACAUUUAAGUCAGGGGUGAAAUCCCAGAGCUCAACUCUGGAACUGCCUUUGAUACUGGGUGUCUUGAGUGUGAUAGAGGUAUGUGGAACUCCGAGUGUAGAGGUGAAAUUCGUAGAUAUUCGGAAGAACACCAGUGGCGAAGGCGACAUACUGGAUCAUUACUGACGCUGAGGCUCGAAAGCGUGGGGAGCAAACACG